RNAcentral lists this ribosomal RNA (465 nucleotides) under uncultured bacterium. RNAcentral describes it as "partial 16S ribosomal RNA". It matches the Rfam family "Bacterial small subunit ribosomal RNA", at positions 338 to 795 of the family's 1533-position model. The record is from RNAcentral.
CCUACGGGAGGCAGCAGUAGGGAAUCUUCCACAAUGGACGAAAGUCUGAUGGAGCAACGCCGCGUGAGUGAAGAAGGGUUUCGGCUCGUAAAGCUCUGUUGGUAGUGAAGAAAGAUAGAGGUAGUAACUGGCCUUUAUUUGACGGUAAUUACUUAGAAAGUCACGGCUAACUACGUGCCAGCAGCCGCGGUAAUACGUAGGUGGCAAGCGUUGUCCGGAUUUAUUGGGCGUAAAGCGAGUGCAGGCGGUUCAAUAAGUCUGAUGUGAAAGCCUUCGGCUCAACCGGAGAAUUGCAUCAGAAAGUGUUGAACUGGAGUGCAGAAGAGGAGAGUGGAACUCCAUGUGUAGCGGUGGAAUGCGGAGAUAUAUGGAAGAACACCAGUGGCGAAGGCGGCUCUCUGGUCUGCAACUGACGCUGAGGCUCGAAAGCAUGGGUAGCGAACAGGAUUAGAUACCCGAGUAGUC